RNAcentral lists this ribosomal RNA (370 nucleotides) under uncultured eukaryote. Its description in RNAcentral is "partial 18S ribosomal RNA". It matches the Rfam family "Eukaryotic small subunit ribosomal RNA", at positions 592 to 976 of the family's 1831-position model. The record is from RNAcentral.
CAAUAGCGUAUAUUAAAGUUGUUGCAGUUAAAAAGCUCGUAGUUGGACCUUGGACCUGGACAGGCGGUCCGCCUCACGGCGUGUACUGUCUUGCUGGGUCUUUCCUCUUGGUGAUCUGUUGUUUCGGCAGCAGGGAACCAGGACUUUUACUUUGAAAAAAUUAGAGUGUUCAAAGCAGGCUCGACGCCGGAAUAUAUUAGCAUGGAAUAAUAAAAUAGGACGUGCGGUUCUAUUUUGUUGGUUUUUGGAAUCGCCGUAAUGAUUAAUAGGGACAGUCGGGGGCAUUAGUACUCACAUGCUAGAGGUGAAAUUCUUGGAUUUUGUGAAGAUUAACUUCUGCGAAAGCAUUUGCCAAGGAUGUUUUCAUUAA